GGAGGGUGCAAGCGUUAAUCGGAAUUACUGGGCGUAAAGCGAGUGUAGGCGGCUGCAUAAGUCGGAUGUGAAAGCCCUGGGCUUAACCUGGGAAUGGCAUUCGAUACUGUGCAGCUAGAGUCUGAUAGAGGGAAGUGGAAUUCCGGGUGUAGCGGUGAAAUGCGUAGAGAUCCGGAGGAACACCAGUGGCGAAGGCGGCUUCCUGGAUUAAGACUGACGCUGAGGCUCGAAAGCGUGGGGGAGCAAACAGGAUUAGAUACCCUGGUAGUCCACGCCCUAAACGAUGUCAACUAGACGUUGGGCUCAUUUCGGAGUCUAGUGUCGAAGCUAACGCGUUAAGUUGACCGCCUGGGAGUACGGCCGCAAGGUUG
Molecule: ribosomal RNA, 371 nt
Filed under: uncultured organism
Description: partial 16S ribosomal RNA
Rfam family: Bacterial small subunit ribosomal RNA
Source: RNAcentral